UACGUAGGUAGCAAGCGUUAUUCGGAUUUACUGGGCGUAAAGGGUCCGCAGGGGGUCUGCCAAGUCCGGCGUGAAAGCCCACGGCUCAACUGUGGAACGGCGCUGGAAACUGGCGGGCUGGAGUGCAUGAGGGGUGAGCAGAAUUCCUGGUGUAGCGGUGGAAUGCGCAGAUAUCAGGAGGAAUACCGAUGGCGAAGGCGGCUCACUGGCGUGCAACUGACCCUCAGGGACGAAAGCGUGGGGAGCAAACAGGAUUAGAUACCCUGGUAGUCCACGCUGUAAACGGUGCGCAUUCGAUGCGGGUGGAGCUUUGAUCCCAUCCGUGUCUGAGCUAACGCGUUAAAUGCGCCGCCUGGGGACUACGGCCGCAAGGCUAAA
This 378-nucleotide ribosomal RNA is filed under the name uncultured bacterium. RNAcentral describes it as "bacterial SSU rRNA". It matches the Rfam family "Bacterial small subunit ribosomal RNA", at positions 524 to 898 of the family's 1533-position model. The record is from RNAcentral.